AAACAAUCCAGAUUAAGCUAUCGAAUGAAAAAGUGAUUGUUAGCUUUACACCAAGAUUUAUCUACAGAUUAAAAAAGUAACAGUGUUUUUGCAUGCCCCAUGCCCCAAUAUGCAUAAAACUACUGCACCCUGCCUUAGUUAAAGCUACCGGUUAUGCAGAGGUAUGCUCUUACAAACUCUGUUCUAACUUCCUGAUUUUUCCUCGUCCAACUAAACUGAUGAUGCAGUUAGCGGACAAGAGAGACAGAGACAUGUUUAUUUAUUUAUUCUUCUACAGGAAAAAUGCCAAACUAGUCCAUAAAUACGCUUUGCACUACUUUGGUGUUUCAUUAAUACAGGAACCUGAUUCUCAUUGGAAGUGCUAGAAAUAUAUUAGGAUAUUAGACUUCCCCAAACGUCCACGCCAAUUUUUAGAGGAUUUGUUGAAUAAACGAUACGUAAUAACUACCGCUAGUACUACUUUCGUGAAUCCCACCGGAGGUUUAAAAGAGCCAUGUGAUUCUUUCAGUAGCCUAAGUUUUGGUGGGAGUUAUCCAUACAUAUACUGGUGGUGAAAAUACCAAUGCUAGGUUUUAUAGUUCAGGUCCAUGCAAGUUGUUCCGAACACCACCUUUAUCCACCAAAAAGAAAGAAAGAAACUACCACUAAUAUUACUCAAACUAGCUCAACUCAACUGAAUUUCAUGUUUUACUAGUUUAGGCAGCUACAAAAAUCAAUUAAUAUCCAUUUAACUCCAUUUGGGAUAUCAAUAAGUUCCUUAAUAAAGGUAAGCUAAAUUAAUUUCCAGUAAGAACUCACCACCAGAAGAUCAUACAAUACAUCUAGCAACAGAAUUGCAUAUAAUCAGAAGACAAACAAAAAUAAAAAGAUUGCACUUUUACUCCCUCAGUUACUGCCAAAUCGUGAUGUUAGUCCUUGUGAUAUAAGAAUCAUAUUUAUCCUUCCAUUAAUCGAAGCGUGCAAAUUCAGUCCAAUGUGAAAGUACAGGUUCUAAUUAUUCAAAACUUAACUAGCUUGAAAUUGAAACCUAAUCGAAGCGUGCAAAUUCAGUCCAAUGUGAAAGUACAGGUUCUAAUUAUUCAAAGCUUAACUGCUUAGUCAAGGAUUCAAUAUAAAAAUUUACCAGCAGAUGAGGGCCAAAGUUGCAAUUAUCUAACAAAAAGUAAAAAAGAAGGAAGAGAAGAAUUACUUGACGAGGGUGAGACCAGUAUUCCCACAGUGAAGGCAACUAAAGGGAGCAGGCGUAUCUCUGUAAAUAGUUUGCUGAAUCGGAAUACCUUUGGGAUCUCCAUAUAUGACGUUUGAUGGAAUCAUGCCUGCUUGAUAAGGGUUUUCAGCCACGUAAUAUUGCUGGUGGUGGAUUUGCUGAGGCAUCGGAGCCUGGUUAUAAGCCGGAUUGUAGGGGAUUCCUAUCGCUGGUUCCUCGUACUUCGACAUCUCCGAUGAUCGAUGAUCUGAUUACUAUGCGAAUGACGGCUUAGAAUUUAGACUUUGUCCACUGGUUCAUCGUACUUCGACAUCUCCGAUGAUCGAUGAUCUGAUUAUUAUGCGAAUGACGGUAUAGAAUUUAGACUUUGUGUUUGAUAAUUUGUUUUAUCUCCGGUACUACGCGUUUGUAGAAUUGUAUUCUUAUAGGGCCAACUUUGGUUUUCUAGAAAAAUUGACUUUGAAUUGUAUGGCAUUUAUCGUUGACCUCAUCUACGUGUUUUUUUUUUAUUAUUGGUUGAUUCGGGGUCUCUGACUUUUGAUAUUACUAUUUUCCAAUGAAGGAACCUAGGCGGGAAAAACUUAUUCGCGCUGUAUGUUUACGCCAAGUCAAUUAAUGUAACACAUAUUCCUUAUAUAUAUGCUUUGGGAAAUUUUUUAAUUUAUUUGUUAAUUUUUAAAAUUAAUUAUCUAGUUAAUUGUACUUUUUCCCUUUCAAUUACUUCAAUUAGCACUUUUUUUAAAAGUAUUUCGGUCCUCUUUGAACCCUUUUUUUUGGAGCUACUACUCAUUUGGUGACUCGAACUCAGGAUUCUAAAAUUGCCGGUGGGGGUGCUGACUAUCUUGCCCUUUCAAUUAGUACUUCGUUUGUGUGUUUUUCUGUUUUUUUCUUUUUUUACUUUCCAUUAUUGUUCUUGUCCCAAACUCCCAUAUUAAGAUAAUUUGUAUGAUUAUUUCAAAACUUUUGAAACAAGUCAUUUAAAAAUAAUGAAUGGAAAAUAUUUUGGAAAAAAAUACAUACCAAUAGCUAAGUAAUACAGAAAUAUAUUGUUGAUAGUCUUUAGAUUAUUACGAGUCAAAGUUUGCUAAGAGACGAUUAAUCAUAAUUCGAACUACAAUGCAUGUCACAAGGUUAGCAACUAGUUUGUUGCAUUCCCAAUCUCAAUUGAGAUUGCUCAUUUACAUGUUAACUAUGUGAAAGAAAAAAGAACAAAAGACUUUGUAUUCAAUUGAUUUAUUACAUUAAGACGAAAUAAAAUGAAGCAAGAAUUUGGUAACAGAAAUGCUAUCAAGAAGGUGAGGAUAAUUAAGUCUGUAAUCACAGCCCGUGACGAGGUUUGGAAAACUUGAUAUUUCUAGAUGAUGUACUGCUCUUUUUUGUUUUACGAAUUACUUCCUUCUUAUAACUACCUAGUUUGCGAGUUAAUAUAUAUAUAUAUAUAUAUAUAUGGUGGUGAAAAUACCAAUGCUAGGUUUUAUAGUUCAGGUCCAUGCAAGUUGUUCCGAACACCACCUUUAUCCACCAAAAAGAAAGAAAGAAACUACCACUAAUAUUACUCAAACUAGCUCAACUCAACUGAAUUUCAUGUUUUACUAGUUUAGGCAGCUACAAAAAUCAAUUAAUAUCCAUUUAACUCCAUUUGGGAUAUCAAUAAGUUCCUUAAUAAAGGUAAGCUAAAUUAAUUUCCAGUAAGAACUCACCACCAGAAGAUCAUACAAUACAUCUAGCAACAGAAUUGCAUAUAAUCAGAAGACAAACAAAAAUAAAAAGAUUGCACUUUUACUCCCUCAGUUACUGCCAAAUCGUGAUGUUAGUCCUUGUGAUAUAAGAAUCAUAUUUAUCCUUCCAUUAAUCGAAGCGUGCAAAUUCAGUCCAAUGUGAAAGUACAGGUUCUAAU
Molecule: long non-coding RNA, 3104 nt
Filed under: Nicotiana benthamiana
Lineage: Eukaryota; Viridiplantae; Streptophyta; Magnoliopsida; Solanales; Solanaceae
Description: long non-coding RNA (NBEN_LNC006806)
Source: RNAcentral